RNAcentral lists this ribosomal RNA (497 nucleotides) under uncultured bacterium. Its description in RNAcentral is "partial 16S ribosomal RNA". It matches the Rfam family "Bacterial small subunit ribosomal RNA", at positions 28 to 507 of the family's 1533-position model. The record is from RNAcentral.
GACGAACGCUGGCGGCGUGCCUAAUACAUGCAAGUAGAACGCUGAAGCGAGGAGCUUGCUCUUCUUGGAUGAGUUGCGAACGGGUGAGUAACGCGUAGGUAACCUGCCUGGUAGCGGGGGAUAACUAUUGGAAACGAUAGCUAAUACCGCAUAAAAUGGAUUAUCGCAUGAUAAUCCAUUGAAAGGUGCAAAUGCAUCACUACCAGAUGGACCUGCGUUGUAUUAGCUAGUUGGUGGGGUAACGGCUCACCAAGGCGACGAUACAUAGCCGACCUGAGAGGGUGAUCGGCCACACUGGGACUGAGACACGGCCCAGACUCCUACGGGAGGCAGCAGUAGGGAAUCUUCGGCAAUGGACGGAAGUCUGACCGAGCAACGCCGCGUGAGUGAAGAAGGGUUUCGGAUCGUAAAGCUCUGUUGUAAGAGAAGAACGAGUGUGAGAGUGGAAAGUUCACACUGUGACGGUAGCUUACCAGAAAGGGACGGCUAACUACGUG